CGGGCCGCAGCAGUGGGGAAUUUUGGACAAUGGGCGCAAGCCUGAUCCAGCAAUGCCGCGUGAGUGAAGAAGGCCUUCGGGUUGUAAAGCUCUUUUGUCAGGGAAGAAACGGUGUUCUCUAAUACAGGGCACUAAUGACGGUACCUGAAGAAUAAGCACCGGCUAACUACGUGCCAGCAGCCGCGGUAAUACGUAGGGUGCAAGCGUUAAUCGGAAUUACUGGGCGUAAAGCGUGCGCAGGCGGUUUGGUAAGACGGAUGUGAAAUCCCUGGGCUCAACCUAGGAAUUGCAUUCGUGACUGCCCGGCUAGAGUGUGUCAGAGGGGGGUAGAAUUCCACGUGUAGCAGUGAAAUGCGUAGAUAUGUGGAGGAAUACCGAUGGCGAAGGCAGCCCCCUGGGAUAACACUGACGCUCAUGCACGAAAGCGUGGGGAGCAAACAGGAUUAGAUACCCGAGU
RNAcentral lists this ribosomal RNA (457 nucleotides) under uncultured Oxalobacteraceae bacterium. Its description in RNAcentral is "bacterial SSU rRNA". It matches the Rfam family "Bacterial small subunit ribosomal RNA", at positions 342 to 791 of the family's 1533-position model. Lineage: Bacteria; Pseudomonadati; Pseudomonadota; Betaproteobacteria; Burkholderiales; Oxalobacteraceae. The record is from RNAcentral.